This 1857-nucleotide long non-coding RNA is filed under the name Lotus japonicus. RNAcentral's name for it is "long non-coding RNA (LJAP_LNC001544)". Lineage: Eukaryota; Viridiplantae; Streptophyta; Magnoliopsida; Fabales; Fabaceae. The record is from RNAcentral.
AACAAUAGAGUAGGGACAACCUUUCCACCAUGUUUUUGUCCACGACAUAACCCUUAACAAGUGCAGGUCCCACACAUGCUCAUAAACAAAUUCCUUUUGGUUAAAAACCAAAUCAUUACGGGCUAGCCAAAUUGACCAGACCACAGCACAUGGGUUUCAUAAUAACAUAACAAAUCCACAAAGAGUGAAGAAAACUUCGUCCAAAAUAUAGAUUAUUUUCUAAUGGCUCUGCUCAAAAUUGCUUCACUCCCAUUCAGCUUUACUAAAAUAUCUUUUCCUCGUGAAACAAUGUCUUCAUCCCUAGCAACCAGGAGCUUCAAUAAUAAGUUCAAGUCAUCAUAUAAAGUUUAUAAUAGUAGUCAAAUAAUUCAUCGUCGACGAUCUACAAAUUACCAACCUUCAAUUUGGACUUAUAAAUAUAGGCUUAAAUAACGCUUUGAUCCUUGAAAUUGUAAAGGGAAUCAAAUCUGGUCCUUGUAAAAUUUUAGCAUCAAAUUGGGUCUCAAAAAUUGUUUUUUUAAUCUAAUUAACUCCUUUUGCUCAAUUUUGACCGGUCAACGGUCCAGUGGCAAGCUUAGUCAGCUAAGGACGGCCACGUGGACUUUUUCACAUCAAUUUUAGUCCCUUGAAAAGUAUUUUAAUCAAUUUUAGUCCCUGUUCUUCCACCUUCAUCUUCUUCCUCUUCCACCUUCAUCUUCUUCCUCUAUAACUCAAAUCCCAUAAAUUCAAAAGGAAGAACAAGUGAAUGUGAUGAACAUAUAGUUUUUUUAGGGUUUUGAAUUUCUAGAUUUAAGGAUUUGAGUUAUGGAGGAAGAGGAAGAAGGUGGAAGAACAAGGACUAAAAUUGAUUAAAAUAUUUUUUAAAGGACUAAAAUUGAUGUGAAAAAAAUUCAUGUGGCCAUCCUUAGCUGACUAGGCUUUCCACUGGACCGUUGAAUAGUCAAAAUUGAGCAAAAGGAUUUAAUUAGAUUAAAAAAACAAUUUUAGGGACCCAAUUUGAUGUGAAAAUUUUACAGGGAUCAGAUUUGAUUCCCUUUACAAUUUUAAGGACCAAAAGAGUAUUUAAGCCAUAAAUAUACCCAAUCAUUAAGUACUGAGUAUAAGGUAUGCCUAGCUAUUUUAUUUUUUUUCAUGUUUGUCAAUUUUGAAACCCCUAUGCAAUAUAUUACAAGUGCUUCUCUACAAUGUUCAGUCUAAUAUCUUCUUGUUAAAUUAAUUAAUGCAGGAAAAAUAUUACAUGGAGCAAGUCAUAGUGCUAAGGGAAAAAGUGAGGACGAUGCUUUGUAAAGUUGAAGAUGAGCUUGAUCAACUUGAGAUUAUUGAUGUGUUGCAAAGGCUUGGGGUGGACCAUCAUUAUGACAAUGAAAUAAGAAAUUUCUUGGACAAUAUACACAGCACAAAUACCUUGAAUGUGGAGAAGAACUUGUAUGCCAUGGCACUCAAAUUUAGACUCUUAAGGCAGUAUGGGUAUAAUAUAUCUUCAGGUUAGUACUCGAUUCAGAGAUUGAACUAAAGAAAUUUAUAGUAAUAUAAAAGGGUGUGUCUAUCUUUGUGAUUUCUUAUUAUUAUUGUUGCUAAUAUUGCAGAUAUUUUUAUUCACUUUAAAGAUGAGAAGGGUAAUUUCAAUAAAGGCCAAUCUCUUGAUGUGGAAGGAAUGCUAUCAUUAUAUGAAGCCUCAUUUAAUUCAUUGGAAAAUGAAACUAUAUUAGAUGAAGCAAUAGAUUUUACCUCCGAAUUUCUGGAAGAAUAUUUGAACCAGGACAACGACAACCAUAUAUCACUUCUAAUCAAUCAUGCCUUGGAGUUGCCGUUACAUUGGAGGAAUCCUAAGUGGGAGACUCAAUGGUUCAUUAAUAU